This 389-nucleotide ribosomal RNA is filed under the name uncultured bacterium. Its description in RNAcentral is "bacterial SSU rRNA". It matches the Rfam family "Bacterial small subunit ribosomal RNA", at positions 28 to 417 of the family's 1533-position model. The record is from RNAcentral.
GACGAACGCUGGCGGCGUGCUUAACACAUGCAAGUCGAGCGGUAAGGCCCUUUCGGGGGUACACGAGCGGCGAACGGGUGAGUAACACGUGGGUGACCUGCCCUCAGCUCUGGGAUAAGCCUGGGAAACCGGGUCUAAUACCGGAUAUGACUCCAUGACGCAUGUUGUGGGGUGGAAAGCCUUGUGCGGCUGAGGAUGGGCCCGCGGCCUAUCAGCUUGUUGGUGGGGUGANGGCCUACCAAGGCGACGACGGGUAGCCGGCCUGAGAGGGCGACCGGCCACACUGGGACUGAGACACGGCCCAGACUCCUACGGGAGGCAGCAGUGGGGAAGUCUUGCGCAAUGGGCGAAAGCCUGACGCAGCGACGCCGCGUGAGGGAUGACGGCCU